Molecule: long non-coding RNA, 263 nt
Filed under: Prunus persica (peach)
Lineage: Eukaryota; Viridiplantae; Streptophyta; Magnoliopsida; Rosales; Rosaceae
Description: long non-coding RNA (PPER_LNC007627)
Source: RNAcentral
GGAGAAUAUAUGCUUGUAUUGCUACUCAAUGCUUUACAAGUUGUGAGGUGAGGAUUCACAAUGUGACAUCCUCCUUAUAUACAUUCCCUAUCCCACCUACCAUCAUGGUAGGUGGCUAAGAUACAAUGUCACCUACCGGCAUCUACCAACUACUGUCACCAACCGUAGUCUACCUACUACUGUACAACGAAUCUGGACAUGUGGGCCAAGAGGUCUAGCAUGAUCAAUCCAACGGGUUGGGCCUUGAACAUGCGGGCCGUGAC